Molecule: long non-coding RNA, 1397 nt
Filed under: Helianthus annuus (common sunflower)
Lineage: Eukaryota; Viridiplantae; Streptophyta; Magnoliopsida; Asterales; Asteraceae
Description: hypothetical non coding rna
Source: RNAcentral
UUGUAUCCACACACACAUGAGAGAGAGAACCGAGAUGACGCCGGGUCAGUGAUGAUGGUGUACGGAUGAUGGCGGUGGUAGGUUGUGGACAAAGCGAAGCCCGACGAUGGCUUUAGGGUUCCGUCGCAAGUCAGUCAAUGGGUUAUUAGGAUUCGGGCAGAGCCAUACCUAGGGUUCCAAUUGACAAUUCCAGAGGUGUAAUCGGUGUUUAAAAGGACGGAUUGAAACAACCCCUCUUCAUCUCGCCAAAACCCUAAUCGAUUCGUCAACCACCACAUCUUCAGAUUGAUGAUCAACGUCAUCCACAGUGGCACCACAACGCUUUCACUGAGUUCGAGAAAGUGUUCGAUCGGAUUGGAUGUUCAUAGCAUGCUUCAUUCACGCGCAUGGGUAACACACGAUUGAUUAUACGUAUCAACAACGGAGAUUUGUAUGAGUUAACAACCUGAAAUUUGAUUAAUUGUGAUUACGGUGCCUUUCCAAGUUCCAAUGAUUGACAGGAGAAGACUUGAUUACACCAUGCCAUUGUAGAGGCACCCAAAAAUAUGUCCACAGGUCAUGUCUUGACAAUUGGAGGUCUGCCAGGGAGGGGUUUGCUUUCUCUCACUGCACAGAAUGUAAGGCUGUGUUUAUCCUACGUGCGAAUGUCCCACCAGAUCGCUGGUGGUUGAGGUUGAAAUUUCAGUUACUGGUUGCAAGAGACCAUGCAUUCAUUUUCAUCAUUGACUCAUUGUCCAACUGAUUGUUGCCUUCUUAGGUGUGUUGGUCUACAAAUUUUAUGGAGAUGAACCGAGACAAAGGUUAAGGGCAUCGCCCGGCAAAUUAUAUAACACACAAUGAAAAAAUUACACCAAGGGGGCAUUCCCCCGUAUCAUCCCAGACACAGCAACACAUCCCUGUAUUUCAGCACUUUACGGCGAAGUAUAACAGCCCAAUCCUAGUCCCUUUGAGUCUGACUAAUAAACCAGAACUGGGCCUUUAAAAGAUGACCAGCCCAAACGUAUAAACCAGGACCUUUUCCAGUAAAAAUGCUACCAAUGCAAGGUCCGGAGUAAAGUUUGAUGCGACCAGCUUCUAACAGCCAUAUAAAAGCAGCCUGAAGCUCCCGUCCAGUGCAGCAGGAGCUUUAUAAUUGCAGUCUGCAGACUGUACAGAACAAGCUUGUUCCAAUAAUGCAACCAGGUCCAUAUGAAUGCGUCCAGCGCUCAGCGGCCAUAGCAAUGCAGCCUGAACAAGCUCCGAGACCCAGCAGCAUCAAAGACCUGAACUUGUGAUAACAGCAGUUGUAAUAGAUCAGAUUUCUUGUACCAGACCUUUAAUCUAACAAGCCUAUUUAGCUUAAAAAUAUGAAAUAUAACCAAAUAGUGAAUAAAGUCAUUGGCAAACCCAAAACGAUG